GACGAGAGGGGCGAGCGUUAUCCGGAAUAAUUGGGCGUAAAGGGUCCGUAGGCGGUAAUUUGUAUGCUUUUAGUAAAAGGCAAAAGCUUAACUUUUGGAAUGCUUUAAGAACAGAAUUUACUAGAGUCUAGCAAAGGAUAGCAGAAUUCCAUGUGAAGGGGUGGAAUCCUAAGAUAUAUGGAGGAAUGCCAGUUGCGAAAGCGGCUAUCUGGGUUAGAACUGACGUUGAGGGACGAAAGCGUAGGUAGCAAACAGG
Molecule: ribosomal RNA, 256 nt
Filed under: uncultured bacterium
Lineage: Bacteria
Description: partial 16S ribosomal RNA
Rfam family: Bacterial small subunit ribosomal RNA
Source: RNAcentral